Molecule: ribosomal RNA, 878 nt
Filed under: Rhodopseudomonas palustris
Lineage: Bacteria; Pseudomonadati; Pseudomonadota; Alphaproteobacteria; Hyphomicrobiales; Nitrobacteraceae
Description: partial 23S ribosomal RNA
Rfam family: Bacterial large subunit ribosomal RNA
Source: RNAcentral
GGGUUGUGAGGUUAAGCGACUAAGCGUACACGGUGGAUGCCCUGGCAGUCAGAGGCGAUGAAGGACGUGCUAAUCUGCGAUAAGCGUCGGUAAGGUGAUAUGAACCGUUAUAACCGGCGAUUUCCGAAUGGGGAAACCCAGUGUGAUUCGUCACACUAUCGUUAAGUGAAUACAUAGCUUAACGAAGCGAACCGGGGGAACUGAAACAUCUAAGUACCCCGAGGAAAAGAAAUCAACCGAGAUUCCCCCAGUAGCGGCGAGCGAACGGGGAGCAGCCCAGAGUCUGAAUCAGCAUGUGUGUUAGUGGAAGCGUCUGGAAAGUCGCAGGGUACAGGGUGAUACUCCCGUACACUAAAACGCACAGGCUGUGAACUCGAAGAGUAGGGCGGGACACGUGGUAUCCUGUCUGAAUAUGGGGGGACCAUCCUCCAAGGCUAAAUACUCCUGACUGACCGAUAGUGAACCAGUACCGUGAGGGAAAGGCGAAAAGAACCCCGGCGAGGGGAGUGAAAAAGAACCUGAAACCGUGUACGUACAAGCAGUAGGAGCCCACUAGAUGGGUGACUGCGUACCUUUUGUAUAAUGUGUCAGCGACUUAUAUUCUGUAGCAAGGUUAACCGUAUAGGGGAGCCGCAGGGAAACCGAGUCUUAACUGGGCGUUAAGUUGCAGGGUAUAGACCCGAAACCCGGUGAUCUAGCCAUGGGCAGGUUGAAGGUUGGGUAACACUAACUGGAGGACCGAACCGACUAAUGUUGAAAAAUUAGCGGAUGACUUGUGGCUGGGGGUGAAAGGCCAAUCAAACCGGGAGAUAGCUGGUUCUCCCCCAAAGCUAUUUAGGUAGCGCCUCGUGAACUCAUCUUCGGGGGUAGAGCACUGU